Molecule: ribosomal RNA, 831 nt
Filed under: uncultured bacterium
Lineage: Bacteria
Description: bacterial SSU rRNA
Rfam family: Bacterial small subunit ribosomal RNA
Source: RNAcentral
CUUCGGAUGAAGAGGUUUGUGACUGAGUGGCGGACGGGUGAGUAACGCGUGGGUAACCUGCCUCAUACAGGGGGAUAACAGUUAGAAAUGACUGCUAAUACCGCAUAAGACCACGGAGCCGCAUGGCUCAGUGGGAAAAACUCCGGUGGUAUGAGAUGGACCCGCGUCUGAUUAGGUAGUUGGUGGGGUAACGGCCUACCAAGCCAACGAUCAGUAGCCGACCUGAGAGGGUGACCGGCCACAUUGGGACUGAGACACGGCCCAAACUCCUACGGGAGGCAGCAGUGGGGAAUAUUGCACAAUGGGGGGAACCCUGAUGCAGCGACGCCGCGUGAGCGAAGAAGUAUUUCGGUAUGUAAAGCUCUAUCAGCAGGGAAGAAAAUGACGGUACCUGACUAAGAAGCACCGGCUAAAUACGUGCCAGCAGCCGCGGUAAUACGUAUGGUGCAAGCGUUAUCCGGAUUUACUGGGUGUAAAGGGAGCGUAGACGGCUGUGUAAGUCUGAAGUGAAAGCCCGGGGCUCAACCCCGGGACUGCUUUGGAAACUAUGCAGCUAGAGUGUCGGAGAGGUAAGUGGAAUUCCCAGUGUAGCGGUGAAAUGCGUAGAUAUUGGGAGGAACACCAGUGGCGAAGGCGGCUUACUGGACGAUGACUGACGUUGAGGCUCGAAAGCGUGGGGAGCAAACAGGAUUAGAUACCCUGGUAGUCCACGCCGUAAACGAUGACUACUAGGUGUCGGGGAGCAAAGCUCUUCGGUGCCGCAGCAAACGCAAUAAGUAGUCCACCUGGGGAGUACGUUCGCAAGAAUGAAACUCAAAGGAAUUGACGGGG